Molecule: long non-coding RNA, 949 nt
Organism: Bombus pyrosoma
Lineage: Eukaryota; Metazoa; Arthropoda; Insecta; Hymenoptera; Apidae
Exons: 2
Source: RefSeq, a predicted model, not a curated record
UUCGUCUUCCACAAUUUCUGCCGAGGGGGAUCGGCUGUAGCUUAUAGAUGAAUUAUAGUUGCUCUUUGCUGUCGCGCAUUCAACGGUGAUGUAUGACUCGGCGGGAGAUGGUAGGUAGAAAACAUCCACGAUGUACGGCCUGUUAAUAACAGCAAGAAUGAACGAACGGCUGCACAACGCGGUACACAGAUGCCGCUGGCGGCUAGACCCCCUUUGUGUUUUAUUACAAACGAUACGUCAGCCACGAUGUAUGGGCUGCUUUUAUCUGCGGCCUGUUAUUGAUGUGCUAAAUUGUCUGCUGUGACUCGUAAGACUGGGCAGGAUGGCUGAUAGACGUCAUUCGAGGAUAUGUUCUCAACGACAAAAAGAUUCAGCCGAUGACACCAAGGACUUUCAUUCUUUAACCAAAAUUAUAGUAAAUUUCUGGUAACGUAAAGUCUAUAUACCCAGUCGAGUAGGAGGUUGAUAAUGGUUCGAGCAAAAGAGAAACUCACGUUCUAGAAAUAACGGGUAAUAAAUCGUUUGUCACCUUUAUUUGUGUCUCGUUGUACAUGUUCCCGUUUUUCCCAAUUAUCAAGAUAAAUCUGGAUAGAAUAACAAAAAGACACCAAGCAAAAGAGAAUACGCAUUAGGUAUAAUGUACACGCUGUACAUAUCUUACAAAAUAAUGAUAAAUUGCUAUCUGUAGCGCAACGUUUAACUUUUAAGAAACUAACUGAAAUAGAUUUAUAAUCUGGUUGUGCAAAGAGAAAAAUAUAAUUAUUGCUGCAAUGACUUAUCGAAUCAUUCAAAGGAAAUAUACAUCAAAGCUACAAAAUUAUUUAGCCUGGGUAAUAAAAAAUAACACGUCAUGCACUACCCUAUUACUUUCAUUGACGUUGCAAUUUUACACGGCAACGCCAAACAAAGGAGAUUUCAAGAUUAAAUAAAUGCAAACAAACACCAAUUA